Molecule: ribosomal RNA, 805 nt
Filed under: Flabellascoma minimum
Lineage: Eukaryota; Fungi; Ascomycota; Dothideomycetes; Pleosporales; Lophiostomataceae
Description: partial large subunit ribosomal RNA
Rfam family: Eukaryotic large subunit ribosomal RNA
Source: RNAcentral
ACGGCGAGUGAAGCGGCAACAGCUCAAAUUUGAAAUCUGGCCCUUUCAGGGUCCGAGUUGUAAUUUGCAGAGGGUGCUUUGGCGUCGGUUGUGGUCUAAGUUCCUUGGAACAGGACGUCGCAGAGGGUGAGAAUCCCGUAUGUGGCCGCCAACCUUCGCCGUGUAAAGCCCCUUCGACGAGUCGAGUUGUUUGGGAAUGCAGCUCUAAAUGGGAGGUAAAUUCCUUCUAAGGCUAAAUAUCUGCCAGAGACCGAUAGCGCACAAGUAGAGUGAUCGAAAGAUGAAAAGCACUUUGGAAAGAGAGUCAAAAAGCACGUGAAAUUGUUGAAAGGGAAGCGCUUGCAGUUAGACGUGCCGUUAGUUGCUCAGCCGGGCUUCUGCCCGGUGCACUCUUCUAUCGGCAGGCCAGCAUCAGUUUGGGCGGUUGGAUAAAGGUCUAUUAAACGUGACUCCCCUCGGGGAGAGCUUAUAGGGUAGACGCCAUGCAGCCAGCCCGAACUGAGGUCCGCGCAUCUGCUAGGAUGCUGGCGUAAUAGCUGUAAGCGGCCCGUCUUGAAACACGGACCAAGGAGUCUAACAUCUAUGCGAGUGUUUGGGUGCGAAGCCCGAACGCGCAAUGAAAGUAAACGGAGGUGGGAUCCCUCACGGGUGCACCAUCGACCGAUCCUGAUGUACUCGGAUGGAUUUGAGUAAGAGCAUAGCUGUUGGGACCCGAAAGAUGGUGAACUAUGCCUGAAUAGGGUGAAGCCAGAGGAAACUCUGGUGGAGGCUCGCAGCGGUUCUGACGUGCAAAUCGAUCGUCAAA